Molecule: ribosomal RNA, 422 nt
Filed under: bacterium enrichment culture clone ALO1_GLFRUDD03F3AX3
Lineage: Bacteria
Description: bacterial SSU rRNA
Rfam family: Bacterial small subunit ribosomal RNA
Source: RNAcentral
GAGUUUGAUCCUGGCUCAGAUUGAACGCUGGCGGCAUGCCUUACACAUGCAAGUCGAACGGCAGCACGGGAGCUUGCUCCUGGUGGCGAGUGGCGAACGGGUGAGUAAUGCAUCGGAACGUAUCCUGGAGUGGGGGAUAACGUAGCGAAAGUUACGCUAAUACCGCAUAUUCUGUGAGCAGGAAAGCGGGGGACCUUCGGGCCUCGCGCUCUUGGAGCGGCCGAUGUCGGAUUAGCUAGUUGGUGAGGUAAAGGCUCACCAAGGCGACGAUCCGUAGCAGGUCUGAGAGGAUGAUCUGCCACACUGGAACUGAGACACGGUCCAGACUCCUACGGGAGGCAGCAGUGGGAAUUUUGGACAAUGGGGGCAACCCUGAUCCAGCCAUGCCGCGUGAGUGAAGAAGGCCUCGGUUGUAAGUACGU